Corvus moneduloides (New Caledonian crow) is the source of this 73-nucleotide small nucleolar RNA. Its record names the gene SNORD63. It matches the Rfam family "Small nucleolar RNA SNORD63". Rfam says of the family: snoRNA U63 is found in both humans and mice. U63 is a member of the C/D class of snoRNA which contain C (UGAUGA) and D (CUGA) box motifs. The record is from Ensembl. Lineage: Eukaryota; Metazoa; Chordata; Aves; Passeriformes; Corvidae.
GUGCUGUGAUGCCAACUGUCAACACAUCAUUCUGAAGAAGAAUUGUGUGGAGACCUUCCGGGUUCUGAGCACC